AUUGAACGCUGGCGGAAUGCUUUACACAUGCAAGUCGAGCGGCAGCACGGGGGCAACCCUGGUGGCGAGCGGCGAACGGGUGAGUAAUACAUCGGAACAUGCCCAGUCGUGGGGGAUAACACUUCGAAAGAAGUGCUAAUACCGCAUACGUCCUGAGGGAGAAAGCGGGGGAUCGCAAGACCUCGCGCGAUUGGAGUGGCCGAUGUCAGAUUAGCUAGUUGGUGGGGUAAAGGCCUACCAAGGCAACGAUCUGUAGCUGGUCUGAGAGGAUGAUCAGCCACACUGGGACUGAGACACGGCCCAGACUCCUACGGGAGGCAGCAGUGGGGAAUUUUGGACAAUGGGGGCAACCCUGAUCCAGCCAUUCCGCGUGAGUGAAGAAGGCCUUCGGGUCGUAAAGCUCUUUCGGCAGGAACGAAACGGCGAGCUCUAACAUAGCUUGCUAAUGACGGUACCUGAAGAAGAAGCACCGGCUAACUACGUG
RNAcentral lists this ribosomal RNA (484 nucleotides) under uncultured bacterium. RNAcentral describes it as "partial 16S ribosomal RNA". It matches the Rfam family "Bacterial small subunit ribosomal RNA", at positions 30 to 507 of the family's 1533-position model. The record is from RNAcentral.